Molecule: non-coding RNA, 46 nt
Filed under: Schistosoma mansoni
Lineage: Eukaryota; Metazoa; Platyhelminthes; Trematoda; Strigeidida; Schistosomatidae
Source: RNAcentral
GCACUACUGUGGAGUCCCAUAAUUGGACGAAACAGCCGUCCAGUGC